AGUGAACGCUGGCGGUAGGCCUAACACAUGCAAGUCGAACGGCAGCACAGGAGAGCUUGCUCUCUGGGUGGCGAGUGGCGGACGGGUGAGGAAUGCAUCGGAAUCUACUCUUUUGUGGGGGAUAACGUAGGGAAACUUACACUAAUACAGCAUACGACCUACGGGUGAAAGCCGGGGACCUUCGGGCCUGGCGCGAAUGAAUGAGCCGAUGCCCGAUUAGCUAGUUGGCGGGGUAAGAGCCCACCAAGGCGACGAUCGGUAGCUGGUCUGAGAGGAUGAUCAGCCACACUGGAACUGAGACACGGUCCAGACUCCUACGGGAGGCAGCAGUGGGGAAUAUUGGACAAUGGGCGCAAGCCUGAUCCAGCCAUACCGCGUGGGUGAAGAAGGCCUUCGGGUUGUAAAGCCCUUUUGUUGGGAAAGAAAAGCAGCUGGUUAAUACCCGGUUGUUCUGACGGUACCCAAAGAAUAAGCACCGGCUAACUUCGUG
RNAcentral lists this ribosomal RNA (490 nucleotides) under uncultured bacterium. Its description in RNAcentral is "partial 16S ribosomal RNA". It matches the Rfam family "Bacterial small subunit ribosomal RNA", at positions 29 to 507 of the family's 1533-position model. The record is from RNAcentral.